RNAcentral lists this ribosomal RNA (781 nucleotides) under uncultured Geobacter sp. RNAcentral's name for it is "bacterial SSU rRNA". It matches the Rfam family "Bacterial small subunit ribosomal RNA", at positions 79 to 851 of the family's 1533-position model. Lineage: Bacteria; Pseudomonadati; Thermodesulfobacteriota; Desulfuromonadia; Geobacterales; Geobacteraceae. The record is from RNAcentral.
CUUGCACCUGAUGGCGAGUGGCGAACGGGUGAGUAACACAUCGGAACGCGUCCUGUAAUGGGGGAUAACCUGGCGAAAGCCAGGCUAAUACCGCAUACGUCCUGAGGGAGAAAGCGGGGGAUUGGCAACGACCUCGCGUUAUAGGAGUGGCCGAUGUCGGAUUAGCUAGUUGGUGGGGUAAAGGCCUACCAAGGCGACGAUCCGUAGCUGGUCUGAGAGGACGACCAGCCACACUGGGACUGAGAUACGGGCCAGACUCCUACGGGAGGCAGCAGUGGGGAAUUUUGCGCAAUGGGGGAAACCCUGACGCAGCAACGCCGCGUGAGUGUUGAAGGCCUUCGGGUCGUAAAGCUCUUUUAGUGGGGAAGAAUCCCACCCGGGCUAAUACCUCGGGUGUCUGACGGUACCCACAGAAAAAGUUCCGGCUAACUACGUGCCAGCAGCCGCGGUAAUACGUAGGGAGCAAGCGUUGUUCGGAAUUAUUGGGCGUAAAGAGCGUGUAGGCGGUUUGUUAAGUCUGAUGUGAAAGCCCUGGGCUCAACCCAGGAAGUGCAUUGGAAACUGGCAGACUUGAAUACGGGAGAGGGCAGUGGAAUUCCUAGUGUAGGAGUGAAAUCCGUAGAUAUUAGGAGGAACACCGGUGGCGAAGGCGGCUGCCUGGACCGAUAUUGACGCUGAGACGCGAAAGCGUGGGUAGCAAACAGGAUUAGAUACCCUGGUAGUCCACGCCGUAAACGAUGAGAACUAGGUGUUGCGGGUAUUGACCCCUGCAGUGCCGCAG